AAUAUUGCACAAUGGGGGAAACCCCGAUGCAGCGACGCCGCGUCAGCGCAGAAGGCCUUCGGGUCGUAAAGCUCAGUCCUCAGGGAAGAAAGGGACGGUACCUUAGGAGGAAGCCCCGGCGAACUACGUCCCAGCAGCCGCGGUAAUACGUAGGGGGCAAGCGUUAGCCGGAAUUAUUGGGCGUAAAGGGUGGGUAGGCGGCCUUUUAAGUCAGAUGUGAAAGGCUACGGCUUAACCGUAGUUAGCAUUUGAAACUAAAAGGCUUGAGUGCAGGAGAGGAGAGUGGAAUUCCUAGUGUAGCGGUGAAAUGCGUAGAUAUUAGGAGGAACACCAGUGGCGAAGGCGACUCUCUGGACUGCAACUGACGCUGAGGCACGAAAGCGUGGGGAGCGAACAG
This 397-nucleotide ribosomal RNA is filed under the name uncultured bacterium. RNAcentral describes it as "partial 16S ribosomal RNA". It matches the Rfam family "Bacterial small subunit ribosomal RNA", at positions 360 to 775 of the family's 1533-position model. The record is from RNAcentral.